Molecule: non-coding RNA, 150 nt
Organism: Caenorhabditis elegans
Lineage: Eukaryota; Metazoa; Nematoda; Chromadorea; Rhabditida; Rhabditidae
Source: Ensembl
ACCCACCGUUUUAAAGAACACUGGAAUAAAACAAAUGAGCACCACAAGCAAAAUGAGCACCGAAAUAAGUGUGUGCUCACAUAAAUCGAAUAGCUGAUAGUAGACUCUAUAGAACGAGUUGAGCAUUAAUAUUAGGACCUCACACAUUUC